RNAcentral lists this transfer RNA (72 nucleotides) under Leishmania major strain Friedlin. RNAcentral describes it as "tRNA_arginine". Lineage: Eukaryota; Euglenozoa; Kinetoplastea; Trypanosomatida; Trypanosomatidae. The record is from RNAcentral.
GCUGCGAAAGACGCAGUCGAAGUGUCGGCGCCGUGGCUCACGAAGAGCGAGCAGUACCUCCGCCACUUCACG